AAAACAAUAGAAAACUUUGUGUCCUCCGCCGGCGAAGAACAAAGAACGAAGAAGAGGUUAUACAGUCCCCAUAAAAACCAGAUUUGCCGUCAUCUUUCGCCGGCGAUUAAGAGCUGUAAUCACCGGUGUUCACUGCUCCAUCCAGUUACAGAUACCGGCGUAGUUGGAUUAAAGAGUUCCGGCGGCGAAAUAAGAACUUAGUGGCUUCGGUGGUUGGUGAUUUGUAAUCACCGGUGUUCACUGCUCCAUCCAGUUACAGACACCGGCGUAGUUGGGUUAAAGAAUUCCGGUGGCUUUGAACUUAGUGGCUUCGGUGGUUGGUGAUUUUCUCCGGCGAUUCGGUGGGCAGGAUUAGGCUUCUUGUUGGGUCUUGAUCCUCAAUAGCUUGAUUAUUCCGAGUCCUAAGGAGGAUUUGAUAUACAAGUGGCAUUGGACUUAACAGAAGAUUAAAUCAACCAUCUGCAGAUAAUUGUCCAAACUAAAAGCAGGAAUGGCAUCUUCAAGCAAUAGCAUCAAAUAUCCUCCUCUACUUUAUGAAGAAGGGAAAUCACCUCUCCAACAUAGAAGCAUGAACCACAAUUGUUUUAUGUCAAAAAUUGGAUUUUUGAGAGAAGGAUUAGGUGUGGACGUGUGGGAUAAACUGAAGGAAUCAUCUCUUGGAGUGUUUAUAAAGUUUGCUGAAUUGGAAUACACAUGGGCUGCGCAGAGAGUUCACUAUCUUCGAGAUCCUGCAAUCAUAACUGGUGGUGUAUCACCGGGUAAAUCCUGCAAUAACCUCUUCGAGAUCUUGUAACUCAAGACAACAUCAAAUACCUUGUUAUCCAGCCUAUAAUCCUCAUAAACCAUUCCAAUGCAAUCAUCAAAUCUGCUUUGAUCGUUACAUUGUAGAAUUCGUGAACCCCUUUCAUUAUCAACAACAAACAACCA
This is a non-coding RNA of Camelina sativa (false flax), 927 nucleotides long. The record is from RefSeq and is a predicted model, not a curated record. NCBI's taxonomy places the organism in Eukaryota, Viridiplantae, Streptophyta, Magnoliopsida, Brassicales, Brassicaceae.